RNAcentral lists this ribosomal RNA (543 nucleotides) under uncultured bacterium. Its description in RNAcentral is "bacterial SSU rRNA". It matches the Rfam family "Bacterial small subunit ribosomal RNA", at positions 693 to 1244 of the family's 1533-position model. The record is from RNAcentral.
AAUAUCACGAAGACUCCAAUUGCGAGGCAGCUACCCGGGUACAACUGACGCUGAGGCACGAAAGUGUGGGUAUCAAACAGGAUUAGAUACCCUGGUAGUCCACCCAGUAAACGAUGAAUACUCGCUGUUUGCGAUAUACCGCAAGCGGCCAAGCGAAAGCAUUAAGUAUUCCACCUGGGGAGUACGCCGGCAACGGUGAAACUCAAAGGAAUUGACGGGGGCCCGCACAAGCGGAGGAACAUGUGGUUUAAUUCGAUGAUACGCGAGGAACCUUACCCAGGCUUAAAUUGCAGAUGAAUAUAGUAGAAAUAUUAUAGCCUUCGGGCAUCUGUGAAGGUGCUGCAUGGUUGUCGUCAGCUCGUGCCGUGAGGUGUCGGCUUAAGUGCCAUAACGAGCGCAACCCUUAUUGAUAGUUACUAACAGGUUAAGCUGAGGACUCUAUCGAGACUGCCGUCGUAAGAUGCGAGGAAGGUGGGGAUGACGUCAAAUCAGCACGGCCCUUACGUCUGGGGCUACACACGUGUUACAAUGGGGGGUACAGAA